This 635-nucleotide ribosomal RNA is filed under the name uncultured Clavulina. Its description in RNAcentral is "eukaryotic LSU rRNA". The stretch from base 218 to 371 matches the Rfam family "5.8S ribosomal RNA". The record is from RNAcentral. Lineage: Eukaryota; Fungi; Basidiomycota; Agaricomycetes; Cantharellales; Hydnaceae.
GAUCAUUAAUGAGUUGUGACGGGGUUUGAUGCUGGCAGCCAAUUUUUGGAUGCAUGUGCUUGCCCCAACAAUCAUUUUCCAAACACCCGUGCACACUUUUGAGGGAGUUUUGAGCUUUAUUGUCACUCUUGGUAAUUUGCUCGCAUUCCCUCUAAAUCAUUAUACGCUGUUAACAAUAAUGAACGUGUUUUGUGCCGCAAGGCCAUUAAUAUAAUACAACUUUUAACAACGGAUCUCUUGGCUCUCGCAUCGAUGAAGAACGCAGCGAAAUGCGAUAAGUAAUGUGAAUUGCAGAAUUCAGUGAAUCAUCGAAUCUUUGAACGCACCUUGCGCCCCCUGGUAUUCCGGGGAGCACGCCUGUUCGAGUGUCACGAAAUUUGUCAAGCUUGGAUGGCCUUUUUUGUCUGUCCAUUGGCCUUGGUUGUUGGGCUUUGCCGUGUCCUUUAUUGGAACGGCUGGCCUUAAAAGCAUUAGCUGAUCCUCGUGUGGCACUGGUUCUACUCAGCGUGAUAAUACAUCUGAUCGCUGAGGACAUCUUUCAGGGAUGGCCAGUUCUCAUUUGGGUUGCUUCUAAACCUGGUUUUGCAGAUUCUCGAAUCUGUGUUCCACUUUCAGCUUUGACCUCGAAUCAUGGU